RNAcentral lists this transfer RNA (74 nucleotides) under Marihabitans asiaticum. It matches the Rfam family "tRNA". From Rfam's summary of the family: Transfer RNA (tRNA) molecules are approximately 80 nucleotides in length. Their secondary structure includes four short double-helical elements and three loops (D, anti-codon, and T loops). Further hydrogen bonds mediate the characteristic L-shaped molecular structure. tRNAs have two regions of fundamental functional importance: the anti-codon, which is responsible for specific mRNA codon recognition, and the 3' end, to which the tRNAs corresponding amino acid is attached (by aminoacyl-tRNA synthetases). tRNAs cope with the degeneracy of the genetic code in two manners: having more than one tRNA (with a specific anti-codon) for a particular amino acid; and 'wobble' base-pairing, i.e. permitting non-standard base-pairing at the 3rd anti-codon position. Lineage: Bacteria; Bacillati; Actinomycetota; Actinomycetes; Micrococcales; Intrasporangiaceae. The record is from Rfam by way of RNAcentral.
GCCCCCGUAGCUCAGCUGGACAGAGCAAGGGCCUUCUAAUCCCGAGGUCGUUGGUUCGAAUCCAACCGGGGGCG